This 486-nucleotide ribosomal RNA is filed under the name uncultured bacterium. RNAcentral describes it as "partial 16S ribosomal RNA". It matches the Rfam family "Bacterial small subunit ribosomal RNA", at positions 28 to 507 of the family's 1533-position model. The record is from RNAcentral.
GAUGAACGCUGGCGGCGUGCCUAAUACAUGCAAGUCGAACGCUGGAGAUCUAGCUUGCUAGAUCGAAGGAGUGGCGAACGGGUGAGUAAUACAUAAGCAACCUACCCACGAAGACUGGGAUAAUCUCUGGAAACGGGGACUAAUACCGGAUAGGUAAUCUGAAGGCAUCUUCUGGUUAUUAAAGGUUAAAAACACUGGUGGAUGGGCUUAUGGCGCAUUAGUUAGUUGGUGAGGUAACGGCCCACCAAGACGAUGAUGCGUAGCCGGCCUGAGAGGGUGAACGGCCACAUUGGGACUGAGACACGGCCCAGACACCUACGGGAGGCAGCAGUAGGGAAUUUUCGGCAAUGGGGGCAACCCUGACCGAGCAACGCCGCGUGAGUGAAGACGGCCUUCGGGAUGUAAAGCUCUGUUGUAAGGGAAGAACGGUAGAUAGAGAAUAUCUAAGUGACGGUACCUUACCAGAAAGCCACGGCUAACUACGUG